UCCUCGUGAGCUUCUGAUGGGAGCGGAUGCUAGAUACUGCUUCGGGAGAUUCAACGCUCCAAAACGAGAGAGAAAUUAAGGGUCAGAGAAGCUGAAUGCAAUUGAGAGUGAUGUCUUGAAGUGGGUUUCAUCUGCAAAUGUCCUGGUUCAUUUGAUGUACAUGUUGAGUUCUUUGGCCAGGUUUUUUUUCGCUGUUCUUGUUCCAUGUGAGUUCCCUUGCUGGAUUUGCCCCGGAUGAAUCGAUGGUUGUGUGAAUUAUUCCCGAACUGUCUCAACUCUUCCUAUAUCUACGAUGGUGGAGUUGGACUGACGAGCCACCUGUAAACGAAUCCUUUGAAACUCUUGCGUGAAUCCUUCCUGUUUGGACAGACACAGAAACUGAUCAUCUUUAACUGGUAGGAUUGAAAUUGCACGGUUCAUUUUGUCCUGAUCUGGAGUAAAGCCUAAAGACUGAGAUUAACAUCAAAUAAUUUACGUUUGGGACUGAGUUUAUAAACUGAUUUUUGAUUCCUCCUUGAGGACAUUGAGGACUUUGGGAAAUUUGGAUAUUUUCAUUCAGAGAAAAUGUCAUUUUGUUUUAUUUGUUGAUUAUCCUUUUUUUUUCUCUGUCUGUGUUGAUUAUAUGGUUUAAAGGUUGACUCAAAUUAGAUAUCAUUCAAAAACAUUUAAGAACGGGUCACUUUAGAAAAAAAAAAGAACAUUUAAUUAGAUGUUUCAGUACCAAAUGCUUUAAGCAAUUUCCACAUUAGCAUGAAUUAUCAACUAAAAGAUAAAAGGAAGUAGAAAUAUCAACUUACCAACAAGGUGAAACCCUAUAAGGAAGCAAAGGGGUGUAAGUAACAACACUGAGUACAAACAUUUCUGAGUCUUUGAAUUAAAUUUUUGUGAAUGUAAAUUUAUUUUCUACUAUUCACUGUUACAAUACAAAUCAAAUCUUGUUCUU
Long non-coding RNA from Sinocyclocheilus rhinocerous, 943 nucleotides. RefSeq lists it as uncharacterized. Lineage: Eukaryota; Metazoa; Chordata; Actinopteri; Cypriniformes; Cyprinidae. The transcript has 3 exons. The record is from RefSeq and is a predicted model, not a curated record.